AACAAUUAAAAAUUUGCACAAAAACAAUUAAAUCAUGAAAAAUAUCAAAAUUAAUCCAAAAAAUAAUUUUAAUUCAGAAAAUUAAAGAGGAAAAUAUUAGAUUUUUUUUGUGUGAAAGUCCCAUAUUUUUUGGAUAAAAAAUAAAAUUAAUAUGAAUUAAUCAAAAUAAAAGGAUUAAAUGAAAAAUCAGAAAAUAAAAUAUAAAUAAAAAAAACAAGGGUCAUUAGAUCUCCCUCAUUAAUUGAGGUAGCAGAUCUGAUGGCCAGCCGC
Molecule: long non-coding RNA, 270 nt
Filed under: Lathyrus oleraceus (garden pea)
Lineage: Eukaryota; Viridiplantae; Streptophyta; Magnoliopsida; Fabales; Fabaceae
Description: Pisum sativum (pea) long non-coding RNA (PSAT_LNC042197)
Source: RNAcentral